GACGAACGCUGGCGGCGUGCUUAACACAUGCAAGUCGAACGGAAAGGCCCUGCUUUUGUGGGGUGCUCGAGUGGCGAACGGGUGAGUAACACGUGAGUAACCUGCCCUUGACUUUGGGAUAACUUCAGGAAACUGGGGCUAAUACCGGAUAGGAGCUCCUGCUGCAUGGUUGGGGUUGGAAAGUUUCGGCGGUUGGGGACGGACUCGCGGCUUAUCAGCUUGUUCGUGGGGUAGUGACUUACCAAGGCUCUGACGGGUAGCCGGACUGAGAGGGUGACCGGCCACAUGGGGAAUACGAUAAGGCUCAGUAUCGUACGGGGGGCAGCAUUGGGGAGUAUUGCACAAUGGGGUGACGCCUGAUGCAGCAACGCUGCGUGCGGGAUGCCGGCCUUCGGUUUGUAAACCGCUUUCGCCUGUGGCGAAAAGUUCGUGACGGUAAGGGGUAAAGAAUCACCGGGUAACUACGUG
RNAcentral lists this ribosomal RNA (468 nucleotides) under uncultured bacterium. RNAcentral's name for it is "partial 16S ribosomal RNA". It matches the Rfam family "Bacterial small subunit ribosomal RNA", at positions 28 to 507 of the family's 1533-position model. The record is from RNAcentral.